UAACCUGGUUGAAUCUGCCAGUAGUCAUAUGCUUCGUUCAAGGACUAAGCCAUGCAUGUCUCAGCGCACAUGGUGCAACAGUGGGUCUGUGAAUGGCUCCUUACAUCAGCAGUCAUCUCUGUGAUAGAGUGUGCUCGGCCAAGGUGCAUGGCCCUAUGGACAUCCUCCAAAACUUGGUGGCUAAUACACGGAUGCAGAUGUCUGCCACACCGUAUGGGGGACCCCUCGGGAGAACCCAUCGGUGGUGGAUUGCAACCAGCCUUGCAAAGACCAGCGCCAGAGAAUGGCAGUGUUGGAGAGCUGAAUCAGGCUGGUCCGACUGGACAAUGCGCUGGCAGAGCUGUGGCAACGCCACUCUUGCUUGAUCACAUGAGCUUCUGACCUAUCAGCUUGGACUGUGGUGUAUUGGACCACAGUGGCCUUAACGGGUGACGGAGAAUUUGGGUUCGAUUCCGGAGAGGGAGCCUGAGAAACGGCUACCACUACCAAGGUGGGCAGCAGGCGCGCAAAUUGCCCAAUACCAAGGCAGAUGGUGAGGCAGCAACGAACUGCAGCAAUCAUGCCCACUUCUGUGGGCAGGACUUGGAAUGGAUGCUAUCCAAACACAGCCAUGAGCAACAACUGGAGGGCAAGUCUGGUGCCAGCAGCUGCGGUAAUUCCAGCUCCAAGGGCGUAUACUAACAUUGCUGCUGUUAAAACACUUGUAGUCUGCCACAGGGUUGCAGGUCUGCUGAUGGCCGGCCCUCGGUGGUUCGCCGCCUGGGGGUUGGAUCUCAACCAUCGGUAGUAUGUUCCUGCUCCCAAUUCCAACGAUGGUGGAUUGCUCCUGCAUGAAGUCCACUUCAGUGUGGGCCAAAGCUAUCUUGCAGUCAACGCAUGCAUGGGUGUUGGACCCACAGCCCUGUGCUGUGACGGAAUGCCAGCACCCAUACCCGGAGUGCACCAUCAAUGCUACCGUGGAAAACCCAGUGUGCCCAAAGCAUCCAGUCUUGGCAGAAUGUCUAUCCAUGGGAUAGCGAAGCAUCGAUCGAUUGUGGCCUGGAGUUGUGCUGGGCUUGAUGCCCGAUCUGAGCAAUGUGGGGGCUUGCCUCUGUCCGACGCCCUGGUUCCCCAAGCCUCCGGGUGCGGGUGGCCUCGUGCCCGGUGCAGAUGGCUUGCUUCCAAACGAAGCUGAUGGGAGUGUUUGGCGCUCAGGAAACUGACGCGCCAGAGGUGAAAUUCUUAGAUCGCAGUAUGACCAACUGCAGCGAAGGCGCUUGGCUGUGCAAGUUCAUCGAUCAAGAAUGAGAGUGUGGGGAGCAAAGAUGAUCAGACACCGUCGUAGUCCACUACAGUAAACCAUGCCAGCUCGGCAUUGGUUGAGCAAUCAUUGAGACUCUAUCAGUGCCAUGCCCCCUACAACGAGAAAUCCACAGCCUGUGGGUUCAGGGGGGAGUACUGUCGCAAGGCAGAAACUUAAGGGAUUGACGGAAUGGCACCACCAAGGCGUGGAGUAUGCGGCUAAUUUGACUCAACACGGGGAAUGUUACCAGGUCAGGACAUUGCAAGGAUGGACAGAUUGAGAGCUCUUUCUUGAUUCGAUGGAUGGUGGUGCAUGGCCGCUCCUGAUUGGUGGAGUGAUUUGUCUGGUUGAUUCCGAUAACGAGUGAGAUAUCUGCCUUUCACUAGCCCUGGCCACGCAUUUGUAGGGCUAGGCACGUGGUGUCGAGGGCCCCGGCUUGCCGGUGUGUCUUCGCCCACUGUCUCCUGAGUGUGCCAGGCAUUGCUAUCUUCGAGGUGCUGUGUCUGCAACCAAAGGCACGCAUGCUAGAGCCAACAGCAGGUCUGUGAUGCUCCCAGAUGUCCUGGGCCGCACGCGCACUACAUUGACACAGUGAAGGUGUUAUGCUCCCCUGUGGAGCCCUGUUCAGAAGUGAUUGGGAAACCAUGCAAAGCUGUGCUGUACUGGGGAUAGACUGUUGCAACUGUCAGCCUUGAACGAGGAAUGCCUAGUAUGCCUGCGUCAUCAGCGCAGACCGAUUGUGUCCCUGCCAUUUGUACACACCGCCCGUCGUUGCUACCGAUGAGAGCACGAUAGAGCCAUCAGGAGACAGCAUCCAGUUCAACCUGGUCAGCAGCCAAAAUUGGGCAAUGUUCUGCUCCUAGAGGAAGCAAAAGUCGUAACAAGGUUGUUGUAGGUGAACCUGCAAAAGGAUCAAAA
This 2200-nucleotide ribosomal RNA is filed under the name Trachelomonas ellipsoidalis. RNAcentral describes it as "SSU rRNA". It matches the Rfam family "Eukaryotic small subunit ribosomal RNA". Lineage: Eukaryota; Euglenozoa; Euglenophyceae; Euglenales; Euglenaceae. The record is from RNAcentral.